GACGAACGCUGGCGGCGUGCCUAAUACAUGCAAGUUGAGCGCUGAAGGUUGGUACUUGUACCGACUGGAUGAGCAGCGAACGGGUGAGUAACGCGUGGGGAAUCUGCCUUUGAGCGGGGGACAACAUUUGGAAGCGAAUGCUAAUACCGCAUAAAAACUUUAAACACAAGUUUUAAGUUUGAAAGAUGCAAUUGCAUCACUCAAAGAUGAUCCCGCGUUGUAUUAGCUAGUUGGUGAGGUAAAGGCUCACCAAGGCGAUGAUACAUAGCCGACCUGAGAGGGUGAUCGGCCAAAUUGGGACUGAGACACGGCCCAAACUCCUACGGGAGGCAGCAGUAGGGAAUCUUCGGCAAUGGACGAAAGUCUGACCGAGCAACGCCGCGUGAGUGAAGAAGGUUUUCGGAUCGUAAAACUCUGUUGGUAGAGAAGAACGUUGGUGAGAGUGGAAAGCUCAUCAAGUGACGGUAACUACCCAGAAAGGGACGGCUAACUACGUG
RNAcentral lists this ribosomal RNA (497 nucleotides) under uncultured bacterium. RNAcentral describes it as "partial 16S ribosomal RNA". It matches the Rfam family "Bacterial small subunit ribosomal RNA", at positions 28 to 507 of the family's 1533-position model. The record is from RNAcentral.